This 301-nucleotide ribosomal RNA is filed under the name uncultured bacterium. Its description in RNAcentral is "partial 16S ribosomal RNA". It matches the Rfam family "Bacterial small subunit ribosomal RNA", at positions 509 to 807 of the family's 1533-position model. The record is from RNAcentral.
CAGCAGCCGCGGGAAUACGAAGGGGGCUAGCGUUGUUCGGAUUUACUGGGCGUAAAGCGCACGUAGGCGGACUUUUAAGUCAGGGGUGAAAUCCCGGGGCUCAACCCCGGAACUGCCUUUGAUACUGGAAGUCUUGAGUAUGGUAGAGGUGAGUGGAAUUCCGAGUGUAGAGGUGAAAUUCGUAGAUAUUCGGAGGAACACCAGUGGCGAAGGCGGCUCACUGGACCAUUACUGACGCUGAGGUGCGAAAGCGUGGGGAGCAAACAGGAUUAGAUACCCGAGUAGUCCCUGUCUCUUAUAC